This 877-nucleotide ribosomal RNA is filed under the name uncultured bacterium. Its description in RNAcentral is "bacterial SSU rRNA". It matches the Rfam family "Bacterial small subunit ribosomal RNA", at positions 53 to 916 of the family's 1533-position model. The record is from RNAcentral.
ACAUGCAAGUGGAGCGACGAACCAGGGCUUGCCUGGGGCAGAGCCGCGAACGGGUGAGUAACACGUGGGUAACCUACCCCAAUGACCGGGACAACCCGAGGAAACUCGGGCUAAUACCGGAUGUUCUGCACUCUCGUAAGGGGGUUCAGCAAAGAUAGCUUCGGCUUUCGCAUUGGGACGGGCCCGCGGCCCAUUAGCUUGUUGGUGAGGUAACGGCUCACCAAGGCUUCGAUGGGUAGCUGGUCUGAGAGGACGAUCAGCCACACUGGGACUGAGACACGGCCCAGACUCCUACGGGAGGCAGCAGUGGGGAAUCUUGCGCAAUGGGCGAAAGCCCGACGCAGCAACGCCGCGUGGGGGAAGAAGGUCUUCGGAUUGUAAACCCCUUUCAGUUGGGACGAAGCUUCCAGGGUUAAUAGCCCUGUGGAGUGACGGUACCUUCAGAAGAAGCCCCGGCUAACUACGUGCCAGCAGCCGCGGUAAUACGUAGGGGGCGAGCGUUGUCCGGAAUCAUUGGGCGUAAAGCGCGUGUAGGCGGUCCGGUAAGUCCGCUGUGAAAGUCGGGGGCUCAACCCUCGGAUGCCGGUGGAUACUGUCGGGCUUGAGUACGGAAGAGGCGAGUGGAAUUCCUGGUGUAGCGGUGAAAUGCGCAGAUAUCAGGAGGAACACCAAUUGCGAAGGCAGCUCGCUGGGACGUUACUGACGCUGAGACGCGAAAGCGUGGGGAGCAAACAGGAUUAGAUACCCUGGUAGUCCACGCUGUAAACGAUGGGCACUAGGUGUGGGGGGUGUCGACUCCCUCCGUGCCGAAGCUAACGCAUUAAGUGCCCCGCCUGGGGAGUACGGCCGCAAGGCUAAAACUCAAAGGAAUUGACGG